CAAUACUGGUUGAUCCUGCCAGAGGCUACUGCUAUCGGAGUCCGACUAAGCCAUGCGAGUCGAGGGUGCUUCUUCGGAAGUAACCCGGCGGACUGCUCAGUAACACGUGGAUAACCUACCCUUGGGACUGGGAUAACCCCGGGAAACUGGGGAUAAUACCGGAUAGGUCGCCGAUGCUGGAAUGCGCGGCGACUCAAAGCUCCGGCGCCCAAGGAUGGGUCUGCGGCCGAUUAGGCUGUUGCCGGGGUAAUGUCCCGGCAAACCUGUGAUCGGUACGGGUUGUGAGAGCAAGAGCCCGGAGAUGGAUUCUGAGACACGAAUCCAGGCCCUACGGGGCGCAGCAGG
RNAcentral lists this ribosomal RNA (345 nucleotides) under Methanosarcinales archaeon. RNAcentral's name for it is "bacterial SSU rRNA". It matches the Rfam family "Archaeal small subunit ribosomal RNA", at positions 1 to 339 of the family's 1478-position model. Lineage: Archaea; Methanobacteriati; Methanobacteriota; Methanomicrobia; Methanosarcinales. The record is from RNAcentral.